Molecule: ribosomal RNA, 460 nt
Filed under: uncultured Methylomirabilota bacterium
Lineage: Bacteria; Methylomirabilota (SeqCode)
Description: bacterial SSU rRNA
Rfam family: Bacterial small subunit ribosomal RNA
Source: RNAcentral
GGGCUUGACAUCCCACGAACCUGCCUGAAAGGGCGGGGUGCCCGCAAGGGAGCGUGGAGACAGGUGGUGCAUGGCUGUCGUCAGCUCGUGUCGUGAGAUGUUGGGUUAAGUCCCGCAACGAGCGCAACCCUCACCCCUAGUUGCCACCGGGUAAUGCCGAGCACUCGAGGGGAACUGCCAGCGUCAAGCUGGAGGAAGGCGGGGAUGACGUCAAGUCAUCAUGCCCCUUACGCCCUGGGCUACACACGUGCUACAAUGGCCAGUACAAAGGGAUGCGAGACCGUAAGGUGGAGCUAACCCCAAAAAACCGGUCUAAGUCCAGAUUGCAGUCUGCAACUCGACUGCAUGAAGGAGGAAUCGCUAGUAAUCGCGCAUCAGCACGGCGCGGUGAAUACGUUCCCGGGCCUUGUACACACCGCCCGUCACACCACGAAAGCCGGCUGUACUCGAAGUCGCUGAG